This 21-nucleotide non-coding RNA is filed under the name Arabidopsis thaliana (thale cress). The record is from RNAcentral. Lineage: Eukaryota; Viridiplantae; Streptophyta; Magnoliopsida; Brassicales; Brassicaceae.
UGGCUUCUGGCCCACCGUGCC